GGCGCGAUAGCCAAGUGGUAAGGCAAUGGUCUGCAACACCGUGAUCACCAGUUCAAAUCUGGUUCGCGCCU
This 71-nucleotide transfer RNA is filed under the name Ruminococcus sp. RNAcentral's name for it is "tRNA-Cys". It matches the Rfam family "tRNA". From Rfam's summary of the family: Transfer RNA (tRNA) molecules are approximately 80 nucleotides in length. Lineage: Bacteria; Bacillati; Bacillota; Clostridia; Eubacteriales; Oscillospiraceae. RNAcentral also lists the same sequence under 2 other names. The record is from RNAcentral.